This is a long non-coding RNA of Vidua chalybeata, 498 nucleotides long. RefSeq lists it as uncharacterized. The transcript has 2 exons. The record is from RefSeq and is a predicted model, not a curated record. Lineage: Eukaryota; Metazoa; Chordata; Aves; Passeriformes; Viduidae.
CCGCCGCCGCGCCGGGGGGCACCCCGGGCUCCAGCGAGGCACUUCCCCGCCGCGCUCCGGCCCCGGCUCGAACGCGCCGCGCCGGGAGAGGGGAAGCCGGGCUCGCUCCUCGUCCUCUCGCACCGCCGCCGCUGGCCCCCUGUUUCCCAGGCGGCUUGCCCCGCUGGGGGAACGAGCCCGCGCCGCCCGCUCGCUCCGCACGCUGCCCGGCAGCGUCCCUCCCGCGCCGCUUCCCUUUCUGCACAUCCGCGCUCCCCGCCAGAGCAACUUCUGGCGCGCCGGGAGCCGGGCCCCCGUCUCCGUCCGGCACAGGGAGCCGCGGGGGGAAGAGCCCUGACCCUCGUUUCACCGGACAUGCAGCCCUGCGAUGAGACAGAAGGCGGAGGCUGGACCCCGGAGCGCGGCAGGGAGCAGCAGGCAGAGCCCAUUCCUGGGGCGGCAGCGAACUCCAGGAAGCCUGGGUUUACCUGCAACUAAUUAAAGGAACUUGCGAAUGAA